Molecule: long non-coding RNA, 1315 nt
Organism: Dermochelys coriacea (leatherback sea turtle)
Lineage: Eukaryota; Metazoa; Chordata; Testudines; Dermochelyidae
Exons: 3
Source: RefSeq, a predicted model, not a curated record
GGGCCGGCGCGCCCCGGUGCAUGCUGGGAGCUGUAGUUCUCCCGCGGAGCGAGCUGGGACCGCGGUCCCGGGGCUCCAGUGGCCAGGGCGGGGCGGCCUCUGUCCUGCGUUUCAUCCAGGACAAGGGUUUCUGUUCUGCCAGAUUUUCUGCCACCGAGGCCACCUUGCAGAAUAUGGCAGCGCAGUUUAAUGAUGAGCUGCAGGAUUCACCAAUUUAGGUGUGCAACAACUGUAUCCCCUGGAUUGACCCUGGACCAAAACCUGCAGCCCUGGCAGCCCAGAAUAACCUCCUGCUGAUGGCAAUGGGAAUUUAGCUUUGUCACUAGCUGCUGGAACCUCAGAUAUGCCGUACAUUUUGUGGCAGACACAGCUUCAUCCAAAGAAGUGAAGGAUGUGUGCCCUUGAAGACCCACUCCUCCACACCGGCAGAGUGCCUCCAUCUGAUAAGGUUGUGACCCAGGAGAAAUAGUGCCACAAUUCACAAAGCAAGAGUGUGGAGGUAGACCAUCAAUGAAAGACUAUGGGGCAGGAGCAGCUGAUAAAGCUUCUGGAGGGCCAGAGAGAGAUUUUGAAGUCCCUCAUUAGCCUGCAAUCAGAGCACAUCUGUGCCUGAUUCCCGCUUCAGCCACUACAGAACUCCAGUCCAUACCCUCCCCACACUUGCCCCAUGGCAUUUCUUGCAUGUUCCUAGUCCCUCACAGAACCCAGUGCACUCCACACCUAGGGAAUGAUUGUCCAAUGAAAGCUGGAGUUACCCCCAGCUGUGAGAGCUCUAAUCACGAGACUUUCCUCAUUUUCAUAUCCCCUAUUUGAUCAAAAGUUCGCUUUUUAUCCUGUUGUUAAACUUGAGUCUUUAAAAUAAAAUGAAUCUUUAUUUGUGACAUACAUCACUCAGUGCUAACAUUGAAACACAGUGGCUAUAGGUUUGAAUAUUUGCUCCUUGCAAAUAGCGCUCAGGAAGCAAGCACUACAGGGGUAAUUCAUGGCAGCAAGUAAACCUUGCCGGGCCAAAUGCAUCACAUAAAGAUACAUUACUGUGAAUCAUUGUCAAAAUGCUCCUUCAAAGCCUCUCUGAUUCGAAUAGCCGCCUGCCCUGCGCCCCUCUAAUUGCCCUUAUAUCUGGCUGCUCAAAAUCAGCAGCCAGCCGUCCACACCUGCGGAAACUUCCCCCCUUCGAUUCACAAACAUUAUGCAGAGUACAGCAGGCCACAAUGACCAUCAGAAUAUUUUCCUCAUUGAGGCUGUCAUAAAUUUAAAGGGAAGGGUAAACAACUUUAAAUUCCUCUUGGCCAGAGGAAAAUCCCUUUCACCUGUA